GGGGAGAUCCAUAUGUCUCCUUCUUGAGCC
This 30-nucleotide non-coding RNA is filed under the name Mus musculus (house mouse). Lineage: Eukaryota; Metazoa; Chordata; Mammalia; Rodentia; Muridae. The record is from RNAcentral.